CGGGAAGUAGCUCAGCUUGGUAGAGCACCACGUUCGGGACGUGGGGGUCGCAAGUUCAAAUCUUGUCUUCCCGA
The sequence is a transfer RNA, 74 nucleotides long. It matches the Rfam family "tRNA". From Rfam's summary of the family: Transfer RNA (tRNA) molecules are approximately 80 nucleotides in length. The record is from Rfam.